GGCCGCCUGGCGAAAUGGCAUCGCGUCUGACUACGAUUUCCGUAGUAAUUUCGUCGUAUCUAUCAGGAGAUUGCAGGUUCGACCCCUGCGGUGGUCA
Molecule: non-coding RNA, 97 nt
Organism: Gymnopus androsaceus JB14
Lineage: Eukaryota; Fungi; Basidiomycota; Agaricomycetes; Agaricales; Omphalotaceae
Source: the annotation of a GenBank genome assembly